GUGAGGAAUAUUGGUCAAUGGGCGGAAGCCUGAACCAGCCAUCCCGCGUGCAGGAAGACGGCCCUAUGGGUUGUAAACUGCUUUUCCGGGGGGAGAAUUUUUCCGUCGUGACGGGAAUUGACGGUACCCCGGGAAUAAGCAUCGGCUAACUCCGUGCCAGCAGCCGCGGUAAUACGGAGGAUGCGAGCGUUAUCCGGAUUUAUUGGGUUUAAAGGGUGCGUAGGCGGAAUGAUAAGUCAGUGGUGAAAACCUGCAGCUUAACUGUAGACUUGCCGUUGAUACUGUCAGUCUUGAGUGUGGUCAAGGUAGGCGGAAUGUGUAAUGUAGCGGUGAAAUGCUUAGAUAUUACACAGAACACCGAUUGCGAAGGCAGCUUACUGGGCCAUUACUGACGCUGAUGCACGAAAGCGUGGGGAUCGAACAGGAUUAGAAACCCGGGUAGUCC
RNAcentral lists this ribosomal RNA (445 nucleotides) under uncultured bacterium. Its description in RNAcentral is "partial 16S ribosomal RNA". It matches the Rfam family "Bacterial small subunit ribosomal RNA", at positions 354 to 796 of the family's 1533-position model. The record is from RNAcentral.